UUUUUUGGCCAGGUUCGCCUGUAUUAUAAAAUUAUGUCUCUGAAGUAGAGGAAUAAUAUUUUUUUUUAUCUCAACAAUAAUGCUUCCUUUGUUUUGUUUAUUAUGAAAUAGAUUUUUAUCUGAUUUCGGGGAUGGUGGGAACGAGAGAUUUCACAUAUGCAAUCUACUCUGGGUUUUAUUACUUUUUUUGUGUUUUAUUUUUUUAUGUAACUAAUGAAUAAAUUUAUUACUUUAAAUUAAAAAAUAAAUUAAUGAUGUAGGAAAAGAAAAUUUAAAUUAAAAAUUAUAACUUGAAAUUAAAAUGGAACUUGAAUGAGUCACAAACCAGGACUCAAAAAUUUAAAAAAAAGAUUAUAUUUCAAUUUCUUUCUGUCAUUUUCGUUUCAAUCAUCGAGGCCUGGAUGUUUGAAUCUGGAAUUUAAAUAACACCAGAGGGAUCUUUUCAAUAUUUUGAAAGCUGAGUCUACCGUGGAUCACCAGGGCAAUGAAACACCUGUCCGUAUU
This 504-nucleotide unclassified non-coding RNA is filed under the name Melitaea cinxia (Glanville fritillary). RNAcentral's name for it is "misc RNA ENSMCXG00005001653.1". The record is from RNAcentral. Lineage: Eukaryota; Metazoa; Arthropoda; Insecta; Lepidoptera; Nymphalidae.